UCUUAUUGGACUAACUCGA
Molecule: small nuclear RNA, 19 nt
Filed under: Arabidopsis thaliana (thale cress)
Lineage: Eukaryota; Viridiplantae; Streptophyta; Magnoliopsida; Brassicales; Brassicaceae
Description: snRNA_03950
Source: RNAcentral